Molecule: ribosomal RNA, 182 nt
Filed under: uncultured bacterium
Lineage: Bacteria
Description: partial 16S ribosomal RNA
Rfam family: Bacterial small subunit ribosomal RNA
Source: RNAcentral
CGUGAAGUCGGAAUCGCUAGUAAUCGCGGAUCAGCAUGCCGCGGUGAAUACGUUCCCGGGCCUUGUACACACCGCCCGUCACACCAUGAGAGUCGGGAACACCCGAAGUCCGUAGCCUAACCGCAAGGAGGGCGCGGCCGAAGGUGGGUUCGAUAAUUGGGGUGAAGUCGUAACAAGGUAGC